Molecule: unclassified non-coding RNA, 260 nt
Filed under: Hevea brasiliensis (rubber tree)
Lineage: Eukaryota; Viridiplantae; Streptophyta; Magnoliopsida; Malpighiales; Euphorbiaceae
Source: RNAcentral
GGAGAGCUGAGUGUUUAGUGCUUGUAUCAGAUGAUUCAGAUUUUGUUGGUGUUCUGAAGGAGGCGAAAUUGAGAUGUAUGAAGACUGUUGUGGUUGGGGAUAUUAAUGAUGGAGCACUGAAGAGAGUUGCUGACGCAGGGUUUUCUUGGCAAGAGAUUUUGAGGGGGAAGGCUAAGAAGGAGGCAGUGUCAGUUGUGGGGCGGUGGAAGGACCAAGACACUUUGAAGAGACUAGAAUGGACAUACAAUCCAGAGGAGGUG